CCUACGGGGGGCAGCAGUGAGGAAUAUUGGUCAAUGGCCGAGAGGCUGAACCAGCCAAGUCGCGUGAGGGAAGACGGCCCUACGGGUUGUAAACCUCUUUUGUCGGGGAGCAAAGCGAGUCACGUGUGACUCAUUGAGAGUACCCGAAGAAAAAGCAUCGGCUAACUCCGUGCCAGCAGCCGCGGUAAUACGGAGGAUGCGAGCGUUAUCCGGAUUUAUUGGGUUUAAUGGGUGCGCAGGCGGAGGUUCAAGUCAGCGGUCAAAUUGCGGGGCUCAACCCCCUACUGCCGUUGAAACUGCAUCCC
This 305-nucleotide ribosomal RNA is filed under the name uncultured bacterium. Its description in RNAcentral is "bacterial SSU rRNA". It matches the Rfam family "Bacterial small subunit ribosomal RNA", at positions 338 to 641 of the family's 1533-position model. The record is from RNAcentral.